UAAUACGAAGGGAGCUAGCGUUGUUCGGAAUUACUGGGCGUAAAGGGCGCGUAGGCGGUUUUGUACGUCUGAUGUGAAAGACCUGGGCUUAACCUGGGAAGUGCAUUGGAUACGGCAAGACUGGAGUGCGAGAGGGGAUUGUGGAAUUGUGCGUGUAGAGGUGAAAUUCGUAGAGAUGCACAAGAACAUCGGAGGCGAAGGCGACAAUCUGGCUCGUAACUGACGCUAAGGCGCGAAAGCGUGGGGAGCAAACAGG
Molecule: ribosomal RNA, 256 nt
Filed under: uncultured bacterium
Lineage: Bacteria
Description: partial 16S ribosomal RNA
Rfam family: Bacterial small subunit ribosomal RNA
Source: RNAcentral